This 505-nucleotide ribosomal RNA is filed under the name uncultured bacterium. RNAcentral's name for it is "bacterial SSU rRNA". It matches the Rfam family "Bacterial small subunit ribosomal RNA", at positions 28 to 523 of the family's 1533-position model. The record is from RNAcentral.
GAUGAACGCUAGCUACAGGCUUAACACAUGCAAGUCGAGGGGAAACGACAUGAAGCUUGCUUUUGAUGGGCGUCGACCGGCGCACGGGUGAGUAACGCGUAUCCAACCUGCCCACCACUUGGGGAUAACCUUGCGAAAGUAAGACUAAUACCCAAUGACGUCUCUAGAAGACAUCUGAAAGAGAUUAAAGAUUUAUCGGUGAUGGAUGGGGAUGCGUCUGAUUAGCUUGUUGGCGGGGUAACGGCCCACCAAGGCGACGAUCAGUAGGGGUUCUGAGAGGAAGGUCCCCCACAUUGGAACUGAGACACGGUCCAAACUCCUACGGGAGGCAGCAGUGAGGAAUAUUGGUCAAUGGGCGAGAGCCUGAACCAGCCAAGUAGCGUGCAGGAUGACGGCCCUAUGGGUUGUAAACUGCUUUUAUAAGGGAAUAAAGUGAGUCUCGUGAGACUUUUGCAUGUACCUUAUGAAUAAGGACCGGCUAAUUCCGUGCCAGCAGCCGCGGUAA